GCCAGGCAUGGUGGCUCAUGCCUGUAAUCCCAGCUACUCAGGAGGCUGAGGUGGGAGAAUCGCUUGAACCCAGGAGGUGGAGGUUGCAGUGAGCUAAGAUCAUGCCACUGCACUCCAGCCUGGGUGACAGAGCAAGACUUCGUCUCAA
Molecule: non-coding RNA, 148 nt
Filed under: Nomascus leucogenys (northern white-cheeked gibbon)
Lineage: Eukaryota; Metazoa; Chordata; Mammalia; Primates; Hylobatidae
Source: Rfam by way of RNAcentral